CUUGCUGUUUCAGCACACUCUUGCCCAAGAAGGUAAUAGUUGCAAAUGACUUUAUUGCUCAUUCUGGGAACUUCCUGAAAGACAUAUUACUCCCUGCCAGACUCUGAAUUCCUUGUCUUAAAACCCUCACCUUGUUGGGGUGACCAAUCCUAAAUCAAGACAUCACCAUCCUUACCUAAUCCUAACCAAGACUUCCUCACCAAAAAGGCCUUCCUUAAGCCAGGCUCGAAUAUCUCAUAACAUCCUGGCUUCACCUCCCCACCCCAAAUUCUGUCAAGGUUGCUGUCUUUUACUGCAGUAAGAAUAAGCUCAGCUUUGUCUUAUCAGCAAUUCAUCUCGGUGAUAUCUACAGAGAGCCGACAUUCCACGUGGAUUAGCGAACUGAAGUCUGGAACCAGAAUGACAAGGGAGGAGUUGAAGUCAGAGCUCUGGCACUUGGACAAGUCACUAAUUUUCAGGUAGAGGCCUCCUACUCCAGGAAGCUUUCCUGCUUCCGCAGGCCCUUUCUGGCCUGUAGAGACUCUCCGCCUUGCCCUGCUUUGACUUGGGAAGACAAGAAGAUUGGCAGAAGACCUGUUCCCGAGGUAGACAUUU
RNAcentral lists this long non-coding RNA (594 nucleotides) under Mustela putorius furo (domestic ferret). RNAcentral describes it as "lncRNA (ENSMPUG00000026381.1)". The record is from RNAcentral. Lineage: Eukaryota; Metazoa; Chordata; Mammalia; Carnivora; Mustelidae.